AUUGAACGCUGGCGGCAGGCCUAACACAUGCAAGUCGAGCGAGCGGCGGACGGGUGAGUAUAGUAUGGGGACAGUCCGAUAGAGGGGGAUAACUACUGGAAACGCUGGCUAAAACAGCAUACUCUCGGAUAACCCCCAUGGGAUUAUCUCGUAGGUAAGGUAAUGGCUGACCUCGGCGACGAUCCCUAGCUGGUCUGAGCGGAUGAUCAGCCACACUGGAACUGAGACACGGUCCAGACUCCUACGGAGGCAGCAGUGGGGAAUAUUGCACAAUGGGCGCAAGCCUGAUGCAGCCAUGCCGCGUGUAUGAAGAAGGCCCUAGGGUUGUAAAGUACUUUCAGUCGGGAGGCGUUACCGACAGAAGAAGCACCGGCUAACUCCGUGCCAGCAGCCGCGGUAAUUC
This 403-nucleotide ribosomal RNA is filed under the name uncultured bacterium. RNAcentral describes it as "partial 16S ribosomal RNA". It matches the Rfam family "Bacterial small subunit ribosomal RNA", at positions 30 to 526 of the family's 1533-position model. The record is from RNAcentral.